AUUAAUAAUAAUGGCUGUGUGGACAAAUGAAUUGACACAAGCUUUAUUUGUGAUCUGGUCCGAAGAAGAGAUACAACAAGUUAUACAAGGUUGGGUUGCAACGGGUCUGGUGCCCAUCAAAGGAAGAACUGAUCAUAAUGCAGGGCUCACCUCGGAGCAGAUAUCAGUCUGAGAUCGGGACAUGGAUUGAGGACAAGUCUGAGAUUUACCUAACCGCGUCUUUUCAUGCCGCAAGAUGACAUCCAAACGAACACACACAUAGAGGGAAAUGGUUAUCUUCCUUGAGGGGGUGGGGUUUCUCCAUCACUACUGUCCAUCCUGCUAUUUGGCCCAUCUCUGUACACGUC
Molecule: long non-coding RNA, 347 nt
Organism: Brienomyrus brachyistius
Lineage: Eukaryota; Metazoa; Chordata; Actinopteri; Osteoglossiformes; Mormyridae
Exons: 3
Source: RefSeq, a predicted model, not a curated record